UCUUACAGUUUGAAGGCUGAAGUCUCUGCACGACUGCACUCGUAGCUGCAGAGCCUACAAGGAUUCACCGGCUGAGUUGACUGUUUGGUGGAAGGGACACUGCAGCUGCUGUGUCGGCCACUGGAGGGCGCUCUGCCAUUGUUGACUUCAGUAGGACUGCUGGAACUAUGGAAGAGUCUUCAGGACCAGUUUGAGUUCGCCCUGACUGCCGUCGCUGAGGAGGUCAACGCCAUCCUCAAAGCUCUGCCCCAGUGAAACCAGUACGACCCAGACCAGCCUCCUGUCUGACGCACUGACGCUGCCCCCUGACUCUCGCACGCAUUCUCCUAGUUACUUUGCCUUUUUUUUGCAAACAAGAAGCUGUCUGCCUGUAAACUACAGUUUCCGGCAAAAGUUGCUGUAGUUUGUGUUUCUGUAGCUGUUUUUUUUUUUUAUCUCCUUAGAAAAGAAAAAUAGACACAAAUGUAUUGAUCAAGAAUAAUUUAAUAACACGUUAUCCCUUUCUUCUCUUUCCAGAUGAGUUCAGAGUUUUCGGACCAAAACUGAGGACGACCAAGUUUCUUUAUCUCAUCCAUUUCUUCACACUUUACUUUCCGUCAGAGCUUUUGGUUGAUCAUUUAUGAUGCUCUUAGUGUUGCUGUAGAUCUUAAAACUCUUUUAUUAUUUUAACAUCAUCAUUAUUAUUAUAGUUGUGGGGUCAGGGAACCUUUUAAGUUUGGAUACAGAUCAGUAUAGUAACCAAUCAGCAGAACAUUGGAGAGACUAAAGCCCCAUUUGGAAGAGAUUAACAUCACAGGGUUGGUGGGGAAUCAAAUAUUUACUGGAUAAUAACUGUAAUAAAUGUGAACAUACAGAGCACAUAUUAUUAUUAUUAUUAUUAUUACCCAUCAUAGGAUCACAAUCAUAGGAUAAAGAUGCUGCAGAACUUGCCUGUGAAUCAGCAGGUUUUUAAGUUUUCUUUAGUAUAAAAAUAAUCUAGUGAUAGUUGUGUGAACAUUGAUCGGUACGCAGCAAAUGGGAACUGCCAAUAGCUAGUUCGGCACACUUUUAAUGCUAAAAUCUGAACAUAUUUGACACAUUUCAAGAUCUUUAAUGUGGUUUUGCUCUCCUGAUGGCUUUAUGUUUUGAGUCUGUCGUCAUAUAAAUAGGUCUGUAUGUUGGUGUUGGCAUGUUUCCACAUCAUCAGCAGAAUCAUUUUCCCACAUUUGAAAAAAACAAGCAGCUGUAUUAUUAUAUACAUAUUCAAUCCACACAAAGUAGGUGAUGUUAAAAUCUCCCAACCUCACCAGGUGAAAUAAAUACCGUCCAAAUGGGGCUUAAAUCAAGUUAAGACGUAAUCUGUCGCUUUAUUUCUGUACAUAUGUUUCUUUUUCUUAUGAAAUGUGAACUCCUCCUUAAACUGUAAAACAGUGAAAUUUAAGAAUGUGAUUCUGAAAAGCCGCUUUCUUUGUAUCAGAAAUACUAUGAACACACGUCCAUUUAAAGGAAACUUUAAAAGAAUAAUUUGUGGAAAAAAUUGUGUGACACAUCAUGUAUGUGUUAAGUUUUCCUGUAGCAACCUGAGCUUUUUAUUUAAGAAACUGUAUCAUGAGCUUUUGUUUUCUAAAGUGUUGUAACAGUGGAACGAGCAAUUAAACUACUUAAUGACUUAA
This is a long non-coding RNA of Dicentrarchus labrax (European seabass), 1652 nucleotides long. RefSeq lists it as uncharacterized. The record is from RefSeq and is a predicted model, not a curated record. The transcript has 2 exons. Lineage: Eukaryota; Metazoa; Chordata; Actinopteri; Moronidae.